GGACAGCCGUCCCCAGGUGGAGAGACAGCGCGUCGCGCGCUGCCCGGGCCCCGCAGGGCCUGGCGCCUGGGGCCCUUGCGCCGCUUUGGGGCGAGGGGAUCACACCGCGGGCUCCCGGAGCUUAGCGUCUUCCACGCGGCGCUGUGUGUCAUCCACGCAGUGUGCUCUCGCUGCCGUGUUCAGGUCACUGCGAGGGUGAGCCCCGCUUUAUCUACCCCUUCUGCUGUUGAUGGGCACUCGUCUGGGGCUAGAAGGGAUAAGGUUGCUGUGAGCGUUCUCGUGUGUUUUUGGUGCACGCGCACACACAUUUCUCUGGGGUGCAGACCUGUCUAGUAGUGGAACUGCCGUUUCCCAGCACUUUGGAGCAAAGCCCUGUUGCAGUCUGAAGCGGAAAAGGCAGACGGGCCUUCCAUGUUCGUGAUUCCAGCCAGGCACAGAAGGGAAGGACAGGGACAGCAGCCGCGCGGAGGCGAGGAGGGACACUGGGCGCUGCUGUCCCCUCUCAGGGGCAGCCACUCCUCUUGUGGACGCAGGUGUGGUCACCAGAAGGGAAGGACAGCAGAGGACUCUUCAGGGACCUUCCUGGAUCCCCCUGCAAUGGGAGUGGCCUACUUGCUUGACUUGAGGCCUCUCCUGAGAUGGCAAACAGGAGGUCUGGAUCAAUCCUACAGUGUCGGCAAAUGUCUGGAUUACCCUGCAAGUUCAGACCAGUGAGGAUCCUUCAGCCACUGGGGGAAAGGCUCUGCUGACACAGCAACAGCGAGCAGGGGGCGCCAGCCAGCCAGCUGGCCGUGCAGUGUUCCAGCGGCAGGCGUAGUUUUCUCCCACCUCUCAUGGACAUUGAGUGCACCUUGUGUAUGCUAUGGACAUGCCCAGCCGCUGGAGAUGGGAGGGGAGGGGGUAAGAAGGGAAGCCACUGUGCCGUGACCCUGAGGCCAUUGAGGUGGGGUUUGGUGUCUCACCAAACGGAAGCCACAUUGUUCUGAAUUGCACCUCUGAUGGCUAGGCCAAAUGCUCAUUCUGUUUAACAUCAUUGCUGCAGUCUGUAGCAAAACCCUUAACGUUACAAAGGAAGAGAUAGAGCCACUUCAAACCGUGAAAGGAGAAGAGAUACCACAGUUAAGUCCGCCUGUCUUGGCCAACGGAGUUCAGUCUUUGGGCUUUCCAGCAACAAAAGAUGCCUUCAGUUGCCCCAGGGUUUUACUCCAGUCCCCGGCAACAGCUAGAUCUCCAUGAAGGGAAACAGCCAAUAUUUUUUUUACUUGCAGGAAAGGGAGGCAUGACAGCUCCACAUCUGUGUUCACCCUUGUGGAUCCCAGGUGAGACUCCAGAUGAAAUGGGAGAGUUCUCUGACCCCCUCACAGGACAUGUGACAGGAGUGUGGCUAGUCUGUUCAGCCUCCACCACUGCUGAAACACCUUAUGGGAGGGGGAGCAUGCAGAUGGGCAAGCGCAGGUGCCAGGGCCAGCGCUUUUGGGCUUCAACCCCAUGGUGGCAUCUAGGGGUGUGUGUCUGUGACUCCUGAAGCCCCAGUGUGUGUGCUCCAGUGCUCUUUUAGCUCUGCUGUCUGUCAGGCCUCUGAGCCCAAGCUAAGCCAUCAGAUCCCCUGUGACCUGCACGUAUACAUCCAGACGGCCUGAAGCAACUGAAGAACCACAAAAGAAGUGAAAAUAGCCAGUUCCUGCCUUAACUGAUGACAAUCCACCAUUGUGAUUUGUUCCUGCCCCACCCUAACUGAUCAAUUGGCCUUGUGACAUUCCUUCUCCUGGGCAACGAGUCUCAUGAUCUCCCCACCCUGCACCUUGUGAGCCCCGUCCCUGCCCACAAGAGAUAACCACCUUUAACUGUAAUUUUCCACUACCUACCCAAAUCAUAUAAAACUGUCCCACCCCUAUCUCCCUUUGCUGACUUCUUUUUCAGACUCA
RNAcentral lists this long non-coding RNA (1925 nucleotides) under Homo sapiens (human). RNAcentral describes it as "novel transcript". Lineage: Eukaryota; Metazoa; Chordata; Mammalia; Primates; Hominidae. The record is from RNAcentral.